GACUCCAUGGUAAAACAAUGGUUAAAUUAAAAUGAAAAGAAAGUAGAAACUAAAGAAACUCAAGAAGACAUCGACGUUGUUUAACUGUUUUCGCAAGGUUACAUGACGGUGUCUCCCCAAGUUGUGCGGCGUCAGAGACGGCGUCUAUGCAGACCCUGACGUCAGACGCAGACUGCAGACGCAGACGCAGGCUCUUCUGGAGGAACGAGAAUGCAGCCAUAGUGAUAUGUAUGUAGCAUAUGCAUGGAGCAAUGUCGGGUCUUGUGAAAAGAGAGUGUGACAUUUUCCCUCACCCAGAGUUCAAUCCAAGAACGACGCAACUACUGAUUGAACUGACACAACAGCACUGGGACCAGUACAAAAUAAAUAAAACUCAAUUUUAUCAAAUGCUGCACGGUGAAUUCCUUGCGCACGGAUACAAUAUUCCGGCGCAAAAGAUUAGGAAAAAGUGGAAUAAUCUGCUUGUCACUUACAAGCGAACAAAAGACAGAACCAGGGUGUCAGGCGAAACGAGGAUUACUUGGGAGUACUUUGAGGCCCUUGACAGCAUUCUGUCACAGACAGUGGGCGUACUGCCAAUAUCGAGGGCCGCUAUCUCCACAGCGCUCUUCCCUACCGUUACCGAGCAACGCCCAGCACCAGCGCUUAUGUUGCCCUCCCCUGCACCGUGUACGCCCACUCCUUCGCUCACUCAAUCACCUGACGGAAGCCAGGGAAGCCCCACGGACUCCACCAUCACCACCUCGCCAACGACGUCACGCCCGCCCAGGGCAGAGGCGGACAGGAAGAGGAGCACGUUGCUGGAUGCCACAGACAUGUUUCUGGAGAAUUACGAAGGGCACGCGCUGCGACGCACGAAAGUUCUGGAGAGCCUGGCCAACAGACACACGCGGCGAAACUUUGUAGCGGAAAAACGGAGGGAAAACCGGGAGACGAGGAGAGAGAAGCGGGAGGAGGACAUGCUGGCCUGUUUGAAGGACAUGUCUUCAACGCUCCGCCAGAUUUCAAAGCAACAGGACCGUAUCAUAGCUCUGCUGGAAAAAAGACCCUAAUUUGUCCCUCUAAUUGGUUUUGCAUGUGUGUGCUCUAUAUAUUUCAUACAUAUGUAUUUCAUACAUAUGUAUUUUAUCUGAAUAGCUUGUGUGCAGGCCAGAGAGUCAGAGUAUGGUAUGGAAGUCCAGCAGUCCUGGUCUAAUUUUGUUUAGUGAUGUCUACACUUGUUAACCCAGCUCUAAGUAAAAAAAAAAAGGAAGUUGCACAGGAAUGUGAGAGUGGGUUAAUGGUGCAUUAGCAUUUCUCACAGCUGUAAACACAGUGACCCAAUACCAGUGUUCUUUUAAAACCCAGAUCCUUUUUUAAUGUUUACACACAAAAUUCAAAACAGCAGGUGAAUUGUGCUAAAUUAUAAUUCCCUUUAUAUAUAUUUGCAGUCAAUAUAAUUAAUUGUUUCAAAUUUCGUAGUGCUAACCAAGUGAAAAUAAGUUCCAUCUCUUCUGCUUCCCGUUCUAUGAAUAAAGGCCCUGAUUACGUUUAAGCAGUAUGUCCACUUGGGGGCAGUGUGUUAAAUCAGUCAAACGUAAUCAAGCCAGAGUAACCCAUGCAGAUGUUGGUGAAGGAGGCCUGCUUACACAGAUGGGUGAAUGAUAGAGAGCCAGGUAAAAACAAAGCCAAGUUACUAUCAUUUAAUACAUGUGUUUCAAACCCUCAAUACUCAAAUACAUUAUGGCAAAGACUUGAUUCUUAGAACUGAUGUGUGAUGCUUGAAGUGAUGUAGACCUGAAAAAGUUGCUCUGUUUUAUGAGCUGUGUCACCCUGAAUCAUAAAGGAAAGCUGGGGUUAAACUCCUAUGGCAGAAGCUGGAUAAAUUGACAACUUUAGUAUCCCCCCAGGUGCAUUGUAAUUAGAAUCUAAAAACAACAAUUUACUUUUAUGAUAAACUUCUCUUCAUUUUACAAAAUGUGUUUUCUCCAAUAUACAUCUUGCCAGUGCUGAGGCACGUGUUUAUGUAAGUACAGUAGAUGGGUAGUUACUUGACUAACUCGUCUACCAACCUAGGUAGGUAUUGUGAAUAAUGUCAUGGUAUUUUAUGGAAUUAUGUUAUGGAAACAUUAUGUUAUGGAAUUUUCUGCAUUCAUCAUGUGAUUGUGUUUUACAGCAGAUUCUAUAGAAUAAGUUUAUGGUCAGCUAACUCAGCUUGACACAUUGUACUCAUUCAAACCCCUUCGUGUAUCUCUGUAGGAUGUGUCAAAUGAAUGUUCCAGCAUCCAGCAUUAAGAGGUCAGAAACUUCAGUGUUAAGAAUUCAGAGCUGUGAAUUUGUGUUUUUUCCACAAAAAAUGGAAUAAAAAGUUGGCGUAACAGA
Long non-coding RNA from Anguilla rostrata (American eel), 2361 nucleotides. RefSeq lists it as uncharacterized. The record is from RefSeq and is a predicted model, not a curated record. Lineage: Eukaryota; Metazoa; Chordata; Actinopteri; Anguilliformes; Anguillidae. The transcript has 2 exons.